GAUUUCUGACUUGGUGCACCUGGCCCGCCACGGUUACGUGUGUGAGUGCCGGGAUGUGCCUGUCACUUUUCUGGUAAACUAUUUUGCUCUUCAUUGGGUGGGAUAGGUAGCCAGAUAUUUUACUUUGAAAAAAUUAGAGUGUUUAAAGCAGGCGUUUGCUAUGAAUACAUUAGCAUGGAAUAAUAAGUUAGGACUUCGGUUCUAUUUUGUUGGUUUCUAGGACUGAAGUAAUGAUUGAUAGGGAUAGUUGGGGGUGCUAGUAUUCAGCGGCCAGAGGUGAAAUUCUCGGAUUCGCUGAAGACUAACUUAUGCGAAAGCAUU
This 321-nucleotide ribosomal RNA is filed under the name uncultured Sandonidae. RNAcentral describes it as "SSU rRNA". It matches the Rfam family "Eukaryotic small subunit ribosomal RNA", at positions 634 to 955 of the family's 1831-position model. The record is from RNAcentral. Lineage: Eukaryota; Cercozoa; Glissomonadida; Viridiraptoridae.